Molecule: non-coding RNA, 114 nt
Organism: Acanthosepion pharaonis
Lineage: Eukaryota; Metazoa; Mollusca; Cephalopoda; Sepiida; Sepiidae
Source: the annotation of a GenBank genome assembly
UUACGGCCACAUCACAUUGAACCACUGGACCCCGUACGAUCACCGAAGUUAAUCAAUAUUGAUCCUGGUCAUUACCUAAAUGGGUGACCGCUUGGGAAUACCAGGUGCUGUAAG